GACGAACGCUGGCGGCGUGCUUAACACAUGCAAGUCGAACGAAGAGCGAUGGAAGCUUGCUUCUAUCAAUCUUAGUGGCGAACGGGUGAGUAACGCGUAAUCAACCUGCCCUUCAGAGGGGGACAACAGUUGGAAACGACUGCUAAUACCGCAUACGAUCUAAUCUCGGCAUCGAGGAUAGAUGAAAGGUGGCCUCUACAUGUAAGCUAUCACUGAAGGAGGGGAUUGCGUCUGAUUAGCUAGUUGGAGGGGUAACGGCCCACCAAGGCGAUGAUCAGUAGCCGGUCUGAGAGGAUGAACGGCCACAUUGGGACUGAGACACGGCCCAGACUCCUACGGGAGGCAGCAGUGGGGAAUCUUCCGCAAUGGACGAAAGUCUGACGGAGCAACGCCGCGUGAGUGAUGACUGCCUUCGGGUUGUAAAGCUCUGUUAAUCGGGACGAAAGGCCUUCUUGCGAAUAGUGAGAAGGAUUGACGGUACCGGAAUAGAAAGCCACGGCUAACUACGUG
Molecule: ribosomal RNA, 510 nt
Filed under: uncultured bacterium
Lineage: Bacteria
Description: partial 16S ribosomal RNA
Rfam family: Bacterial small subunit ribosomal RNA
Source: RNAcentral